CACGGAGGAUCCAAGCGUUAUCCGGAUUUAUUGGGUUUAAAGGGUGCGUAGGCGGCCUGUUAAGUCAGGGGUGAAAGACGGUAGCUUAACUGUCGCAGUGCCCUUGAUACUGAUGGGCUUGAAUAUACUUGAGGUAGGCGGAAUGUGACAAGUAGCGGUGAAAUGCAUAGAUAUGUCACAGAACACCAAUUGCGAAGGCAGCUUACUAAGGUAUGAUUGACGCUGAGGAGCGAAAGCAUGGGGAGCGAACAGG
This 253-nucleotide ribosomal RNA is filed under the name uncultured bacterium. Its description in RNAcentral is "partial 16S ribosomal RNA". It matches the Rfam family "Bacterial small subunit ribosomal RNA", at positions 524 to 776 of the family's 1533-position model. The record is from RNAcentral.